CUCCACGAAGUUGGAUUCGCUAGUAAUCGCGCAUCAGCCAUGGCGCGGUGAAUACGUUCCCGGGCCUUGUACACACCGCCCGUCAAGCCAUGGGAGCCGGGGGCGCCCGAAGUCCGGGACCGCGAGGACCGGCCUAGGGCGAAACUGGUAACUGGGGCUAAGUCGUAACAAGGUACC
RNAcentral lists this ribosomal RNA (177 nucleotides) under uncultured bacterium. RNAcentral's name for it is "partial 16S ribosomal RNA". It matches the Rfam family "Bacterial small subunit ribosomal RNA", at positions 1316 to 1500 of the family's 1533-position model. The record is from RNAcentral.